Molecule: long non-coding RNA, 1440 nt
Filed under: Equus asinus (donkey)
Lineage: Eukaryota; Metazoa; Chordata; Mammalia; Perissodactyla; Equidae
Description: lncRNA (ENSEASG00005029622.1)
Source: RNAcentral
GCUCAUUCCUCUGGCCCUCCUGGUAUCUACAUUUCUGAGUAGUGCAUCUGUUUAGAAUGUAGAAGAGAAUUUGACUCAUGCAAUUUAACAGGCACAUGAGUCUCUGAUGUUAGUCGAUCUGGGAUCAUUGGCUACAGUCUGAAAAGUGAGCAAAAUGGUUCUCUCCUCUUCUCUGUCUGCAUUCAGUAACGCUAGCUGGUCUUCCGUAUACUGAAGGACACAAGAAGGAGCCAACAGACGUCAACAUCUGAUUUAGAGAAUAUGAGCAACCAGAGGGCAGCUUGUGCCUCUCCUUUCUGAAUUGUCAGAAGCCAGCAUCGGAGUGACGUGCAGGAGGAUGAACAACAAAUGCUUGUUGAAUUAGGAGAUUGAAUUAGUGAAGCACAGUGGAUGGAUGCUGAAUGAAUGACUAAACAGAAAACGUCUCCGGUGAGAAAAGAAAGACUAAGUUUUCCAAGUGAGGUUUUGUGUGUGUGUAUGUUUCGACUGAUAAAAGCUAGACAAUAUGAGCUCAUCUCUUCGGAGUUUAUGAAAACUUACCUGUUGAAAAAGACUGGUGAAGAAAUGGUAGGAAGAAGACAUUUUUAAAGUUGGUGGAUUUCUUGCCAAUAUCUUCACUUGGGAGGACAUUCCAAUGGCGUCCUGUGGGAGUGAUAUCCCGCUCUGAAAGGCACGAUACAAGGUGAGGUAAAGGCCAUUUGGAGGUGCUUGUGAUUCUGCUGCACGAUGUUCAGAUCCCUGACUCCCCACGGAAUGAAUCUAUCAGACUUAAUUGCAUUUUCCUUCAACUUUGAAAACAUUCCAUUGGAAAACACUCCAGUGUCAGUUGUUAUUAUCAAGGGCUAUUCUGAUGACUUUGAAGAUCGCUUAAAGACCAAUAUCCACUAGCGGAGAAAGAGGCCAAGAAAUUACAGGAAGUGAUUCACAAAGAGGUGAUAUGGGAAAGACCUGUGGAACAUGGUUGGUGCUGAGAAUGGGGAGAAACAAACUGAAGAGAGUUCAGAAGAGAAGAUUUUGGUGACAGCAUUUCAGAUGGAUUGAAGAGGCAAAUAAUUAAAUGUAGGAAGAUCUGGGAAAGGAGAAGCUGCAGAGUGCAAAAUGUUACGUGUGCACCAACCUAAUAAAAAAGUAAAAGUCAACCUUGAAAACAGAGAGACCCAAUAUGUCAAAAAGCCUCAGAAUGUUUCCAUUGUUUUCCAUGUCUGUGGCCUCAUUCUUAGCCGAACAUUUUUCAACUCAGUCAACAACUUUACAACAACAUCACGUCUACAAGAACCAAAGCCAGAAGCCAGAAGCCAGAAUCUGAAGUGCAGUGAAGAUGACCUGCAGAGUUGAGCUGUCUGGAGCACAGAUCAGGGCAAAGGACGAGAGUGGUGGUGUAUGUCAUGGAGUGGGAGCGGGUGUUAAUGAAAAUAGCACAUAUGAUAAAGUAAGAAGGUA